RNAcentral lists this ribosomal RNA (472 nucleotides) under uncultured bacterium. Its description in RNAcentral is "bacterial SSU rRNA". It matches the Rfam family "Bacterial small subunit ribosomal RNA", at positions 28 to 507 of the family's 1533-position model. The record is from RNAcentral.
GACGAACGCUGGCGGCGCGCCUAACACAUGCAAGUCGAACGAGAGAUGAGGAGCUUGCUCUUCAAAUCGAGUGGCGAACGGGUGAGUAACGCGUGAGGAACCUGCCUCAAAGAGGGGGACAACAGUUGGAAACGACUGCUAAUACCGCAUAAGCCCACGGCUCGGCAUCGAGCAGAGGGAAAAGGAGUGAUCCGCUUUGAGAUGGCCUCGCGUCCGAUUAGCUGGUUGGUGAGGUAACGGCCCACCAAGGCGACGAUCGGUAGCCGGACUGAGAGGUUGAACGGCCACAUUGGGACUGAGACACGGGCCCAGGACUCCUACGGGAGGCAGCAGUGGGGAAUAUUGCACAAUGGGGGAACCCUGAUGCAGCGACGCCGCGUUGGAGGAAGAAGGUCUUCGGAUUGGUAAACUCCCUGUUGUUGAGGAAGGAUAAUGACGGUACUCAACAAGGAAGUGAACGGCUAACUACGUG